AUGGCCAUAUAACAUUGAAACACAAGUUCCCGUACGAUUUUCGAAGAUAAGCAACGUCGAACCCGGUCAGUACCUGAAUGGGUGACCGAUUAGGAAUACCAACUGCUGUA
Molecule: ribosomal RNA, 110 nt
Filed under: Acanthosepion pharaonis
Lineage: Eukaryota; Metazoa; Mollusca; Cephalopoda; Sepiida; Sepiidae
Source: RNAcentral